GGAUCUAAAUAAAAAAUAGAUUCUUAAUUAAACUACGAUCAGAAUAGGUAAAAAAUUGCAUAUUAACUGACUGUUUCUAGAGCAAGUGGCAAAGGGUUUGGUGGUCGGUAUCCGAGAUUUAAGUUCGAAUCCCAAUUGAUUUACAUUUCUAGUUAAGUUUAUUUUCUAAAUGAAAUAAACGAAGCGGGUAGCGUGCUAUCUAUCUCUCUCAAAAAAAAAUUGCAUAUUAACCACAAGUGAAAGCUGAAUAAUUUGUUCUGAUAUAUCCAAGCAACAACAAGUGCUACACAGAU
Molecule: long non-coding RNA, 293 nt
Filed under: Ananas comosus (pineapple)
Lineage: Eukaryota; Viridiplantae; Streptophyta; Magnoliopsida; Poales; Bromeliaceae
Description: long non-coding RNA (ACOM_LNC019846)
Source: RNAcentral